Molecule: long non-coding RNA, 775 nt
Organism: Solenopsis invicta (red fire ant)
Lineage: Eukaryota; Metazoa; Arthropoda; Insecta; Hymenoptera; Formicidae
Exons: 4
Source: RefSeq, a predicted model, not a curated record
AAUUGCCGAUCCAUGAGUUCCUAACCUCUGAGUGGUCAUUUAACUUUAACGAUCAAUAUUUCGCUUCGCGGGAGAGACCGACGCUUAUUUCUGCUAGAUUCUUUUGCUUCGAGCAAAAACGCGCCGAUUGAGCCUAAAUUGAUUAAAAUCGGUGCUGAGCUCUCAUUCAACUUAAUCUGCAAGAAAUCUAUUUUUAUUUUUAAAAGCUCAUAAAAGAUAUUAUUGACAUAAUGCUGCUAACGUUGCUAAUAAAGAUUGAAAAAGACAUACAUCGUAACAACAUUUUUCCUCUUCGUCACAUUCAUGAUCACUAUCACAGUAUUUAGGCGGCUUGUACCAGUCAUAAGUCCUAGGACAAGAGAUCCUCAAGGGCGGGCAAUGCUUCUUCGGUUUCCAUUUCAUCAUGGGUUCGUGCCAAGGUUGCUCACUAUGCGGUUCUGCGGUGAUGCCAAACCAGAACCAGGGGAAAAGCACGAUGGCCUAUGAUUCAACAGACUAGCAGCUUCUCAUAUAACGUGUCUUAUACAAGAGGAAGGAACACGCCCCUACCUAAGGAGGGUUGUAAAUCGUUCAACACCUCCAAUAUGUCAAUCAUCGACACGAGCAAGCGAGGCACGUUUGUUCGUACUCGAUUUCACAUGUCAACUUUGUCUCGUUUCUGAUGGCUACUGGGAAAAACAUAGAGAAAUGUCAGAAACGAAGGACAUGUCACAUACGCAUAUUAGAAUGACCAGGGCCGAAUCUACGAAGCCAACAAAACAAUGUCAAGUCUUAA